Molecule: long non-coding RNA, 575 nt
Filed under: Theobroma cacao (cacao)
Lineage: Eukaryota; Viridiplantae; Streptophyta; Magnoliopsida; Malvales; Malvaceae
Description: long non-coding RNA (TCAC_LNC000739)
Source: RNAcentral
CAACUCAAGACUGCAAUCAAUAUCCUCAACCACAAGUAUUGAUCGGUUUCCAGUGGCGAUCAGUAUUCUCCUCAGAUCAGAGUUGGUUUGAAUAUCGGUGAGUUCUAAGUCAUAAAUGUCAAAGUUUAAAUAAUUUGCCAUUGCAGCAAUCAAACUUGAUUUUCCUGUACCAGGAGGACCAUAUAACAAAUAUCCACGUUUCCAUGCCUUCCCUACUCUUCUGUAAUAUUCUUUCCUCUUUAGAAAUCUCUCAAGGUCUUCCAUUAUCAUGGUCUUGAGCUCUGUAUUCAUCGCCAGUGUUUCAAAUUUUGCAGGAUGAUCAAGGAUUAUUGGUUGCCAUACUCCGCCUCCAUGCCUCCGCAUAUAGUCGUACAAAGUGUAGAGCUUUAAGGUUUUCUUCUCUUCUGUUAAACAACUUGAUUCUUUUAAUAUAAAAGGCAAGUAGGAGUUUAAAACCUUAUCCUUGUGUUUCUUGUGGAAAGUAAGCUCAAAAGAUCGAAUUUCGGAUCGGACCUUGUAAGUAUGACCUUGAGCUGCCAUGUGAUUGGAGUCAACUUGUCUGGUAACCUGCCUCC